RNAcentral lists this ribosomal RNA (429 nucleotides) under Chloroflexota bacterium. RNAcentral describes it as "Chloroflexi bacterium partial 16S ribosomal RNA". It matches the Rfam family "Bacterial small subunit ribosomal RNA", at positions 355 to 776 of the family's 1533-position model. The record is from RNAcentral. Lineage: Bacteria; Bacillati; Chloroflexota.
UGGGGAAUAUUGCACAAUGGGCGCAAGCCUGAUGCAGCCAUGCCGCGUGUGUGAAGAAGGCCUUCGGGUUGUAAAGCACUUUCAGCGGGGAGGAAGGCGUUAAGGUUAAUAACCUUGGCGAUUGACGUUACCCGCAGAAGAAGCACCGGCUAACUCCGUGCCAGCAGCCGCGGUAAUACGGAGGGUGCAAGCGUUAAUCGGAAUUACUGGGCGUAAAGCGCACGCAGGCGGUCUGUCAAGUCGGAUGUGAAAUCCCCGGGCUUAACCUGGGAACUGCAUUCGAAACUGGCAGGCUAGAGUCUUGUAGAGGGGGGUAGAAUUCCAGGUGUAGCGAUGAAAUGCGUAGAGAUCUGGAGGAAUACCGGUGGCGAAGGCGGCCCCCUGGACAAAGACUGACGCUCAGGUGCGAAAGCGUGGGGAGCAAACAGG